CCUAUGGGGGGCAGCAGUGGGGAAUAUUGGACAAUGGGGGGAACCCUGAUCCAGCCAUGCCGCGUGUGUGAAGAAGGCCCUCGGGUUGUAAAGCACUUUCAGUGAGGAAGAACGCCUGGUGGUUAAUACCCAUCAGGAAAGACAUCACUCACAGAAGAAGCACCGGCUAACUCCGUGCCAGCAGCCGCGGUAAUACGGAGGGUGCGAGCGUUAAUCGGAAUUACUGGGCGUAAAGCGCGCGUAGGUGGCUUGAUAAGCCGGUUGUGAAAGCCCCGGGCUCAACCUGGGAACGGCAUCCGGAACUGUCAAGCUAGAGUGCAGGAGAGGAAGGUAGAAUUCCCGGUGUAGCGGUGAAAUGCGUAGAGAUCGGGAGGAAUACCAGUGGCGAAGGCGGCCUUCUGGACUGACACUGACACUGAGGUGCGAAAGCGUGGGUAGCAAACAGGAUUAGAUACCCGAGUAGUC
This 465-nucleotide ribosomal RNA is filed under the name Vreelandella stevensii. RNAcentral describes it as "partial 16S ribosomal RNA". It matches the Rfam family "Bacterial small subunit ribosomal RNA", at positions 338 to 795 of the family's 1533-position model. The record is from RNAcentral. Lineage: Bacteria; Pseudomonadati; Pseudomonadota; Gammaproteobacteria; Oceanospirillales; Halomonadaceae.